CCUACGGGUGGCAGCAGUGAGGAAUAUUGGUCAAUGGACGAGAGUCUGAACCAGCCAAGUAGCGUGAAGGAUGACUGCCCUAUGGGUUGUAAACUUCUUUUAUAAAGGAAUAAAACGAGGCACGUGUGCCUUUUUGCAUGUACUUUAUGAAUAAGGAUCGGCUAACUCCGUGCCAGCAGCCGCGGUAAUACGGAGGAUCCGAGCGUUAUCCGGAUUUAUUGGGUUUAAAGGGAGCGUAGAUGGGUUGUUAAGUCAGUUGUGAAAGUUUGCGGCUCAACCGUAAAAUUGCAAUUGAUACUGGCAGUCGUGAGUACAGUUGAGGUAGGCGGAAUUCGUGGUGUAGCGGUGAAAUGCUUAGAUAUCACGAAGAACCCCGAUUGCGAAGGCAGCUUACUAACCUGUGACUGACGUUGAUGCUCGAAAGUGUGGGUAUCAAACAGGAUUAGAUACCCCAGUAGUC
This 460-nucleotide ribosomal RNA is filed under the name uncultured bacterium. Its description in RNAcentral is "partial 16S ribosomal RNA". It matches the Rfam family "Bacterial small subunit ribosomal RNA", at positions 338 to 795 of the family's 1533-position model. The record is from RNAcentral.